Manacus vitellinus (golden-collared manakin) is the source of this 1757-nucleotide long non-coding RNA. NCBI's taxonomy places the organism in Eukaryota, Metazoa, Chordata, Aves, Passeriformes, Pipridae. The record is from Ensembl.
CCGGGGCUGAGGCCGUGGGGGCGGCCCUGGAAGAGCGCCCGCCCCGCCACAAAGGGGGGGGGCGGCCGGGCGGACCCCAAGAGGGAGAUCGGGCCGUGGGCACCACGGGCAAGAAGUACCAGGCGCUGACGGCCACGGAGCAGACGGCGCUGGCGCCGGGGGAGCAGCCGCGGCGCUUCGGCGUCUACCUGGACUACGAGCGGGGCCAGCUGGGCUUCUACAACGCCGAGAGCAUGAGCCACAUCCACACCUUCCACAUCUGCUGCAGGGACAGGGUCUUCCCCUUCUUCCGCAUCCUGGCCAAGGGCACCCGCAUCAAGAUCUGCACCUGACGCCCGGGGGGGUGGGAUGGGGUGGGGUGGGAGGGGAGGGGGUGGGGUGGGAGGGGAGAGACCCCCCCGGAAAAACAGCCCCUCCUGGGACAUCCCCUGUCCCUAAAAACAUGACACCUCCUGUCCCUAAAAACAUCCCACUUCUGGGACACCUCCUGUCCCUAAAAACAUCCCCCUGUCCCUAUAAACAUCCCCUUCUGGGACAUCCCCUGUCCCUAAAAACAUCCCCUGAAAAAACAGUCCCUCCUGGGACAUCCACUGUCCCUAAAAACAUCCCCUGAAAAAACAGUCCCUCCUGGGACAUCCCCUGUCCCUAAAAACAUCCCCCUGUCCCUAAAAACAUCCCCCUUCUGGGACACCCCCCUGUCCCUAAAAACAUCCCCUCCUGGGACACCUCCUGUCCCUAAAAACAUCCCCCUGUCCCUAAGAACAUCCCCUCCUGGGGCUGCACUUUGGUUUCUGGCACCUGCUUCGCUCCCGAGAUCCCUCCUCAUCCUCUUCUUCCUCUUCUUCCUCACUGGGCUCCUGGAGCUGCCCCUGGGACUGGGAUUGGAAUGGGAAUGGAUCCACCUUGGGAAUGGGUUUGGAUUGGAAUGGGAGGGACUGAUUUUGGGUUGGAAUUGAGAUGGAUCCACCUCGGGAUGGAUUUUGGGUUGGAAUUGGGAUGGAUCCACCUCGGGAUGGACUUUAGGUUGGAAUUGGGAUGGAUCCACCUUGGGACUGAUUUUGGGUUGGGAUUGGGAUGGAUCCACCCCACAGAGGUGGGUUUGGACUGGACUGGGACUGGAUCCCCCUCAGAUCCCAGGAUCCCAGCCCAGUUCCCGGUGCUGGGAGCUUUUCCCUCCCCCUCCCAGUUCCCCCCCCUUCCCCACCUUUGGAAUUUUGGGACCCCCGGGGGGGGGGGUCUUUGCGUUUGGGGCCAAAUCCUCCCGGAUUUGGAACCUCCUCCUUUCCCAAAAUCCGCUCUUUCAGUGCCUGGAUUUUUUGGGAUUCCCCCCAGCCCCCCAUUCCCAACAUUCCCCUUCUUCCCUCUUCUCCCCCUCCUCCCCCUCCCACCUUUCCCUGCCAUUUUUUGGGGGAAAAUCCCGUUUUUCCCCCUCCCCUCUGGCACUUUAUGGGUGGGGAGGAGCCUCUUUUUUCCCCCCUUUGGAGCUCCCCAAGUUUGGGAUAUUUAUUUUCCCUCUUUUUUUUCCAGCCUCCUCCUCCCCUCCCCCCCCUUCCCGUGUGUUUUCCCGGUUUUUUGGUGGAUUUGGGAAUUCCCUGUUGGGUGUUUUCUUUCAGAGCUCGGUCGGGAUAUUUUUGGCAAAAAAAAACCCAAAAAAAAACCAAAAAAAAAUCGAGAAUUUAAAUGGAGAUUUUAGUUUUAUGAAAAUGUCAAUAAUUAAAAAUAAUAAAAAAGGAGAAGUUGUAGCCGAGGCUCCGGGU